GUGCCAGCAGCCGCGGUAAGACGAACCGUGCAAACGUUAUUCGGAAUCACUGGGCUUAAAGGGCGCGUAGGCGGGCAACCAAGUCCGGGGUGAAAUCCUCCAGCUCAACUGGAGAAGUGCCUCGGAUACUGGCUGCCUCGAGGAGGGUAGGGGCAUCUGGAACUAGCGGUGGAGCGGUGAAAUGCGUUGAUAUCGCUAGGAACUCCGGUGGCGAAGGCGAGGUGCUGGACCCUUUCUGACGCUGAGGCGCGAAAGCCAGGGGAGCGAACGGGAUUAGAUACCCCGGUAGUCC
Molecule: ribosomal RNA, 292 nt
Filed under: uncultured bacterium
Lineage: Bacteria
Description: partial 16S ribosomal RNA
Rfam family: Bacterial small subunit ribosomal RNA
Source: RNAcentral